CUCCAAAAUCAUUCAAUUGAAAUUACUCUCGACCAACGCAUUGCACUUGUAAAAAAUAAGAAACCUGCGAGCUGAGCUGGGGUUUUUAUCUUCAAUGAGACCACGUAUUCAAGCAAUGUGGGCCGAUGUACAAGUGCAUCGUGUAUAAAAGAUUUCCAAUAGCCCUGCUAUACCCAUCAGUAACACCAGCCUCGUGAAUGGAAAGAACGGUGUGAUGUCCGUCCGGUAGAGGGGUUUGAUUUGGGCUAAUGGGAAUCGGUACGAUGGCCGAAGGGAAAUGAGGUUUCACGUGGCCGGACGGGAGCUGCUAUGUGGGUAGUUGGGGUAAGGAUCUCAAAAAGCAGCAGCUCAAUGGUACGUUUUAUCCCGACAGCGUUAAGGAUCAGAGUUGUAAUCAGAGGAGUCCAUUGGUUGUUGGCAAGUAUGGCAUCCACGAAGAGGUCUUCGGUCGAUGUAUGGUGCAAGGGGGGAACUUGGCCGAGAGGAAUUUCCCUUGGAUUUACAUUUGGGAAUCAGAUGGGGAAGUUGGUGAUAUCAUCGAUCAUGUGGAGGCCUCGAUGUUCUAACGAGACGGAACGAAUUUGGAUCAGGGAGUGGAUGCCUUGCGGCGGAGGAGUCUGUGUUGUUUCACCGGUGAGGUUAAGAAACCCGGGAAGACGAUACCGAAGGGACAUAAGAACUACGAUUUGAUGCUUAAUCUCCAACUGGGUAUCAGGUAGCUUGUCGAAUGAAUAGUCUAGGGCUUGUUCCCCUUUCCUCUCGGAAAAAAUCCCCCUCCGCCACUCCCCUUCCUACAUACACCCUCCAGAGUCCAGACGGCGAACUCUCCGCUCGCCAGGAUUUGCAGCGGCCACCUUCUCGGCUUCUCCAGUGUAUGGAAUGAUGGAAGCAAAUUAAUUUAUAAGGGCAAAACAGACAUUUUUCCAUUAUUCAAACGGUAACUUGGAGCCGAAAUUUUUUUAUGGGUUCAGUUUGAAAAGCGUUCACCCGAAUCCGAAUAGUUGGACAGUUCCUUGAUUAGUUAGGAAGGCAUAAUACUACGACUUCACACCCUCGACCCGAUAAUUUCAAUACUCACCCGAUUGCAGUUCGGCUUCGCCAUGCCUAUGACCGAUGGAUUUCGCUAUUUCCUUUUUCCCAACUGUGAGAGAAGAGAAUGAGUUCCUUCUGAAACAAGUAGGCAAAACAGAAAAGCUCCAAGAGACAUGAGAUGCAGAUGCUUGCUCAUCAAGAGGAAUCAGUAUUGCUGGCAGCACAAAGACACUUCAUGUUGACAAUCGUAUUUCUCCCUUCGUUAUUACCAUCGGAUCGCCAAUGAUCUCAUUAUUUUUUUCUCUCUCUUGUUCAGUUAGUUUCCCUAAAACUUGAACGUCGAGAUGUUACUUAGUUCACUUCGGUAUUUAUUCUUGGUUACUCUUACACAAACUGCGAUUUUGAAUCUGUUUAUAUGGAGAGCUAUUUAGGUUGAUUGUUGAAUGAGGGAGGUGAAUCCAUUAUGUUAUGCAAAUAGGUUGUUCAUUUAUGGUAUAGAAUUCUAUAAUUUGUUUGCUUGUUCUGGGAAGGGUAUCCGAAUAAGGCUAAAAAUCUUAUUCCAGUAGUAAUAUAAGAAGGUGGAAGAGAUGCUUAUCGUUCCCAUUGGACAAUCAUGACUCCAAUUGAUCAAUGAAUAUCUCAUAGAAGUGUCGAUUGGUUUUCUUUAUGAUGUAUUUCGGUGAAUUAUAGGUAAUAAUUCUUGAUAAUAUGCAAGGCAUCUUAGUUAUUUUAGUAUCAUCUUGAGUUCUUGAUUGCAAUUUUGCCUUACCACAUUUAACACCAGAUGCAAGAGAUGAACAUUGAAUCUAGUGGAGUGGUGAAUUUCCUUGUAGUUAAGCGAUGGCAGAUACUGAAUGCAUAUCAAUGCUCUUCAAGGAGUUUCUGUCACUUGGUUCUUUUCCCUAGUAAUCAUCCACAUGACAUUGUUGCUCCCAAUCAAACAGUUUUGUGCCUAAAUGGACUGUAAUCCUUGGAUUGCAUGCAUAGUUUGGUAUUUUAUAUUUCUAAACAAUUUCCAUUAUCAGGGAGCAGAUUUUAUAAAAUCAGGAGUGGAAAAUAGGGAAGAACUAACAUUAAUGAUCAAGAAGGUCACCUGAACCUGGCCAUUUUUUUUUAUAUCUUGGAUCAAUUAUUAUUAAACAAUGCAAGAUUGAUGAUGCUGGUGCAUGUGGAACUUGGAUAAGGUGAAUGAUGUAGGGAAUUCUUAUUACCAAUGCAUACCAAUUGAAACUGCAAAAAAAAUGUAAUGAUACAACAUAAUGCCAGCCAUGAAUUAAGAUGGGCACGUGAAAAGAAUGGGAAUGAUAGGAGGAGGUUGGUGAACACUUCCCCUGUUCGAUGCAUAAACAGGGAGGUGACCAUGGGUAUCUUUUAAGAAGUGACUAUAGAAAUAUGUGGAAAGACCAAAAGUAUCAUGGUGCAAAGUAGUGUAAUGCAAAUUGAGACUUGAAAAUCAUGAAAGAUAAUAUUUUUAAGGAAUUGUGGGGAUAGGAAUUGAAUGGCUUAACAACUUCAUUCAAAAAAUCCAUAUUUAUAUUGGGAUUUUUUAUGACUUUUUUUUUGUAUUGCGAUUUGGAAAAGGAAACUAUGACUUUUCUGUCACUUUCAAGAAAGGGAAAGUUUGUUGGUCUUCUGUUCCUUUGGCAAUUCUCUGGGUUUUGUGGUGCGAAAGGAAUAGUAGAAUUUUUGAGCAUGUUAUUUCAUCUGAAGCUGAAGUCAUCAAUCAUGCUCUAGGUGUCAUAAGGAACUGGUUGUCUGUAAUUCAUGUUUUCAAAGAUAAUAUAUUGGAUGGCUCUUUUUUGUAAGUGGACAUUUUUUGAGGUCCUCUUGACUUGUACAAUCUCUCUUUGUACAAUGGACCCUUUACUUAUACUUAUUUUAAUACAGUUAUACUUAACCUUUCUCUCAAAAAAAAAAAAAAAAGAAUUGGGAGGACACUUGAUGCAGAUAUGCUUUAUUCAUAACUACUCAACCAGAAGUUUAGACUAGAAUGUGUACAGUGUACUUUUGGUUAAGUGCUAUGAAAGGAUAUCAUUAUCCAAUGUUAGUCCUGGCUCUAUCCAGGGUUGGGAGGGAUGGAUUGGAUAAGGACCUAACUUUUGGCAUUUUUUGCACAAUGUGCCACUUCAGGUUCAAAACACGUUCUCAUGCUUGUCAACCGGAUAUCUUUACCUUUAUGAUUCCAGAAAGGUGUUUUAAUUUUUCUGAAGUUGGAUUUUUCUUUCUUAAAGCUUCCUGGUUCCUUUCAUUUCUGAUGGAUGGUCGGAGCUUGUUACUUAUUUCAUUUGAAACCUUCUUUUUGAAACCUUCUUUAGAAAGAAGGGAAAUGGGGAGAACAGGAAAAAUCUUUGAAUAUAAGACACCCCCAGAGUGGGCUACUGUCUUUUUCCACUCUUUUAGGUUGUAUCAGUAAGGAGUUGAAUGAGACAUCCUAAUCUGAAUUUCAAUCUUGUUAGUUGCAUCCUUUUAUAAGGGGUGAUGGUGUACACUGUACAGUUUUGUGGUCUGACUGGAUUUAUCACAUCUAUUAUGUUUAUAACUAAAUUCUGUCAACAUUGGAGAAGACUCCUAAUUGUUGCCCCUGCCUUUCUUUCCAUAAGUGAAAUUCUUAUUACUAUAUAAAAAUAAAAAAAAAAGAAAGUAGGAAGGAUAAUAUUACAACUGGAUAUAUUUGUGGGGAUGCUUUGAUUUGUUCCAGUUUAUUGGAAACCAAUCUGUGCUCUAAGACAUGUCUGGUGCAGUAGAAGUCAUAAAAGGAAACAUAUUGUAGCAGUGGAAAAAACUCAUUAGUAGAAAAAACAGUCAUGGAUGAAGUAAAUUGAUAGAUUGAUAAAAAAAAAUGAAGUAAAUUGAUAGAACAUAUUUUUAAUGCCUUAUCUCAAAUGGCCGGGAUAUGCUAUAGUUGAGUUGUAUAAAAUAUAAUUGUGUUUGGAAGGGCUUUUGAGAAAAUAUCUUUCAAAGUGCAUAUGUGGUUUAGAUCUUUUUGUCUUUCAAAGAUCUAGAUAAAGUUUGGCAAGCUCAUAUAGUAAUUUCUAUUCAAAAGAUCCUGCAGGAAGCACACAAGCUUAGGAAAUUGCUUGAAUGUGACCCAUUUGAAUCCUAAUAAUAUUUUAUAUAUAUCAUAUUUACAUAUUUACCCACAUAUUUAUUGAGCUCUUAAUAUCUUAUGAGUUAUGAGUAUAUAUAUAUACAUACAUGCAUAAAAAAGGCCAUUAUGUUGGUUCUAGCUAUUUGGGGUCUUGGGAGGGGUUGAACCGGAUACAGUCCUAACCUUUGGCAUGUUUUUUGGGCACAAAUUGGUCGUUCUCAGACUUGAACCCACAUUAUCAGAAUAGACAGCCCAAGAUUUUACCAUUACACCAAGUAACAGUCUAUUUUUUUUUUUUUCAUAUCUUAAGAUUUAAGAAUUAGAAAAUCUGAAUACAGAUCAGGUUUAUAUCUGGAUGCAAGUAGAUGCAUAUGCAGGUUAAAGGGUUGGGUCUGGGAUAGGUUAUAUUAAAUUGGGCCAGAUAUGAAUCAUGCUCUCUGGAUCUGAUAUGGCCCUUUUUUGGAUUCAGGUCCAGUAAGGUUAGAUCCACUCCAGAUCUGACCUGUUGCAUGCCUUACCUACCAUAUGAAUAAGGUUAAUGUUAUUUUUUUGCUUUAGGUUGGUUAAAUCCAUGCUGAACAGAAAGAAGUUUCAUUACAAUGGUAUGCAGACUGACAUCUUCCAAGAAGAGAAAAAUAUAAUAGAUCUAUAUGUUAUGCUUCUGAGGUUUUCAAGAUGCAGAGGCUUGUUGGACAAGAAAACCUGAAUCAGGAUUCAAGGACUCACCAAAUCUUACAUGAAAGGUCCGUGGUAGAUCAAUUUUACAAAUUGUAAGUAUUCCAUUUUACUAUUAAAAGAACUCAGGUCAAUCAUUGCCCUCUGAAUAUAGAUAGAGAUGGCCUGGUUUUGACUUUUGACACAUGCACAGGUCAAUCUUGCUUCUUGUUGUUAAAAAUCCUAGCAUUUCCUUCUUUUCAAAUGCUCCAUAAGAUAGCUACUCUUAUAGACUUAUACAUCUGCACUUGAUUUUUUUACUCUUCUGGAGUGGAGCUAAAGUAAAUUGGAUUGAAACAAUUCCAUGAUUUCAUUUAGAGGUGAUCAGGAACUCCAUAAAGAGGAACUGGUUGGAUCCAUAUGUCUGUAUUAUAAGUGCAAAGAGUAAUAGAUGAUUGGCAUUCUCACUGUUAUUUAAGCAGAAAAUAUGCAUGAGGCAAGAGAAUCAAAGUUUCCGUCUCCAUUGGAACAUCUAACAUCCGUUUUUUUUAGAAUGAUCUUUAUGGUGAAAUUUGCUGAUUUUGUUUUGUCAUUGAGGACCUUGGAGGAAUCAUUUUGGAUGAUCCAGUUAUAGGUUGAUAGAUGAUUGUGGGAUACUCUCUUAGAAGACAAUAAAGAAUGGUGAUUGACAUGUACUAGAGCAAGAAAGUUGAAUUUUGAUGGUUGCAGCUUAGGCAAUCCAGGUACUUUGGACAUUGAAGGGAUAAUAGGAAAUGACAGGGAAACAUUCAAUUUAGUUUCUCUGGGUCCAUUGUUGUUGAAAACUCACUAAAAGGCAGAAAAGUUAGCUCUACUACGAGGGCUAAAGUUGGUUUCAGCAGCUGGCUAGAAUGAUUUACAAGUGGAAGGAGGCUGUCAAGUGGUUAGAUAAGAAAAGGCUCUAACUGCUAACCUGAAUUGCUUGUUCGGGUGGAUCCCUAGAGCUAAAAAUACUUUGCCAGAUUCUCUAGUUUGAACAGGGGUAACAACAGACAGUUUUGUAUGAGGUAAUCCAUGACAAGGAGCAGAUUUGUAAAGAGCUUUUAUUUUGAAACGACAGGAGUAGUUUAUAUUUACUGCUUUCUCUAUUUGUACCCUGCUAUCAUCCUUAUCUGAUUCAUUUACGAAAUUCUCUUGCCUGUUGCUUAUUAAGAAAAAAACUAAACCAUUUUAAAUUUGUAAAUAGACUUGAAUCUCUUAACUAAACCAUUUUAAACUUGAAAUAGUCUUUCACAACCAGCACGGACUAAGAAAAAAACCAAGUCAUUUCAAACUCGGAAUUAGACUUGAAUCUUUUAACUAAACCAUUUUAAACUUGAAAUUUUCUUUCACAACCAGCAUAAACCAAGAAACUCCUUGGAAACUGAUGAAUUAUGAAGAUGUCAAUAAACUCUUCUUAAAAUCCCAACACCUGAUAUCAACAAAUGGUGCUUGUACAAUUAUGAUAUUGAAUUUAAACUGGAGCAUGUUACAUACUUCCUUACUUUUCUUUUCAGACCAUAUUCUCCAUAGGAUAGCUUCCCUUGUGCACCUCCACAUGAUUUUAAGGGCCAAUUUAUUUGUUUCAAAGAGAUCUGUUUAUCAACAAAAGGUACCAAAGCUCCAAAAAGAGGGAAAUCGUUUCCUUAUACUUGUAGUAUAAGAACAAGACAGGAAAAGGUGGUUGGCAUCAAGGAUGAACACAUGAGGAGAGAGAUGCAAUGUUUUUUGUUGCUCUAUGCUUGAGCAUCUCACUUGUAUUGAUGAUUUUCAAAAUGGUUUUCCGAAAGGAUUUGACUUUUAUAGGGGUAGGACCCAAGGUUCAAAGUAUCGUUACGUAUCGGCUGAUACAUAUCAUAUUGGGAGCACCCCGAUACACCCUCUGUCAGUUUUGACCGGUUCAGGGGGUAGAGGAACCUUAAACCGCCACCCUGAACCGGAUUUGAAAAAAAGUUAAAAAAUGUAAAAAAAAAGUACCAAUACUGCCUGAUAUGCCCCUAUCGGCGUAUCGGGCGCAUCGAUAUUUAGAACCUUGGUAGGACCAUUCAAAGAACCUUAAUCUGGAAAGGAACUGGGGAAGGGAAAGAUACCAAGGCUUUUCUAAAAAAAAGAGCAAGAAAAAAAAAUGAAAGCUAAGGACUCUAUGGCCAAAAUCGUGGAUUCUGCUCCUUCCAGAAGAAAUAGUAUACCCUCAAGAGAGUUUAAAAGACAUAACGCUUUUUUUCACUCUCAAAAUCUCUAAGACCCCUUCUAAAGCCAAGAUCCCAAGCAAUAUUGGAAAAGAUGGAGUCUAAGUCCGAAAUUGUUUUGUUUUUAUGCAAAAGAAAUGGAAUAAAGUAUGGAGAUAUAAGAUGCACAAUAGUCUACCUCCAAACCACUGAUCCUCCCAAGUUUUACAUUUUAGCUUGAAACCAAGUCAUACUUUAUACACUCAAGAAGGGCAUCAUCUAUAACCUUCCAAUGGCAAUGCAGCGUUACCAUCAAUGCUAAGCCCGAGUCCCAACUAUUCCAUAAGGAAUGUUGAAGAGAUUGUGGCUCCAUAAGCGAUCUCCAGAACCAUUUGCCAAGAAAAGCAAGAUUCUUAUCCCUUCACCCUUCCCAAUUUCAAGCUCUGUCAACCGCAAUCCACAUGGUGCCUGGUUGACACUUUCUGCUGUUUUCUUGUUUGAGUGAAAGUCAGAAAUACUGACAAAUAGAAACAAGCUCCCUCUUUCCUGCUUUAUUCUACUUUCUGAGUCCAUAUUAUGAGUGAUAAACAUAUAAGUGGUUAAAUGUUUCUCAAGGUACUUAUUGUUCCCCAUUCAUGUGCUAAGGAUCCUUGUUAGUUGUUAACAUGUUUGCUUAAUUCAUUCAGCCACUAUUUCAUGACACUGAUUUUCUUUUGAACCUGUAGACUUUAUUCAAAUGAUUAAUAAUUUUUCAUGUUUCAUGUAAUGGUCAGACACAUACUUCACAGUCUUGUUUUACGCCAUCAAUUGAUCUUCACAGUCAUUAAUCAUAGCAGGUGAACACCUUGUCAUGUUCCCCAUUAAACACAUUGGUUUACAUUUAAGAUUUCCCACAACUUUGCUCUAUAUUGUGUUAAAUUGCUGAAAUUUUUUUUGCCUUAUAUUUCAACACAUCUUACCGGGUUAUGUUACCUGAAGCUAUUGCAUUUGUCAUGGCUCCCAGAGAUGCAUCAAGGUGAGGAAGUCGUCUGCCAUAUGGUAAAAGGAGUUUGUACUAGACCUGUUCAUGGGCCGGGUAGCCCGAUGGCCUGGCCCGCACCCCAGUUGGGCUUGGUCAUGUAA
Nelumbo nucifera (sacred lotus) is the source of this 8082-nucleotide non-coding RNA. The record is from RefSeq and is a predicted model, not a curated record. Lineage: Eukaryota; Viridiplantae; Streptophyta; Magnoliopsida; Proteales; Nelumbonaceae.